AUACGGAGGAUCCGAGCGUUAUCCGGAUUUAUUGGGUUUAAAGGGAGCGUAGGUGGACAGUUAAGUCAGUUGUGAAAGUUUGCGGCUCAACCGUAAAAUUGCAGUUGAUACUGGCUGUCUUGAGUACAGUAGAGGUGGGCGGAAUUCGUGGUGUAGCGGUGAAAUGCUUAGAUAUCACGAAGAACUCCGAUUGCGAAGGCAGCUCGCUAGACUGUUACUGACACUGAUUCUCGAAAGUGUGGGUAUCAAACAGGAUUAGAUACCCUGGUAGUCCACACAGUAAACGAUGAAUACUCGCUGUUUGCGAUAUACAGUAAGCGGCCAAGCGAAAGCAUUAAGUAUUCCACCUGGGGAGUACGCCGGCAACGGUGAAACUCAAAGGAAUUGACGGGG
Molecule: ribosomal RNA, 393 nt
Filed under: uncultured bacterium
Lineage: Bacteria
Description: partial 16S ribosomal RNA
Rfam family: Bacterial small subunit ribosomal RNA
Source: RNAcentral